Magnolia sinica is the source of this 1028-nucleotide long non-coding RNA. RefSeq lists it as uncharacterized. The record is from RefSeq and is a predicted model, not a curated record. The transcript is spliced from 5 exons. NCBI's taxonomy places the organism in Eukaryota, Viridiplantae, Streptophyta, Magnoliopsida, Magnoliales, Magnoliaceae.
UCACCCUCUUCCUUCCCUACCCUAUUUUCCACUGCUCUCUCUCUCUCUCUCUCUCUCUCUCAUGCGCGCGUGGGGCAUUGAAUGUUGGAUCUAGCAUGGCGUCAACACUGAGAAGUGAAGCAUCUCUCUCUAUCUCUAUAGCAGAUCUCGAAAGGUAAUUGAUUAUGGAGUUCAUAAGCUUUGGAAAUACAAUCAUGUUGGGGAGGGGUCUCGCCCCUAUAUUUGACAAUAUGAACAGGGGAUGUACAAUCCACACACAUUCAGGUGAGCACCACAAGAAUGUCGGGCCUCACAAUCAAGUGUUGCUGCAACUUCAUUUAAAACAAGCCGUUUCAUAUUUCUGGUGUGGCCCUAUUUAAAUCAAGGGUAAGCAUCCCCUCUCACAUUGUUCGCUUGUGUUGUGGCCCACUUGACUGUUGGAUCAGGUGGAUUUAGGUAAUGUGUGGUGAUACAUCUGAUAGAUAGGGUUGAUGGCCUUCAUACAUCAAGUGGGUGCCACAUAUCAGUACCACUCUAGCAUAGCUGGGAUGAGACCAUGAUGAUGAUGGCCAAUCUUUCUUUCUUUUUUUUCUUUUUUUUGCUUCCAUUUGCUAUAGUAUUACAUUGCAGUCAAAUUGGAGGUGGCACUGCAGUCUAUUAUCUGGGCAGCUCCUUGGGUGGGUCACUCUUGAAAAAUGGUGCAGACUAGUAUGUCUCUAAUGCAUACCGCCAUUGUUGUAAUGCAGAGAAGUUUAAAUCAGACUUGAUGAAGAUAGCUAUGACCACUUUAAGUUCAAAAAUACUUUCCCAGGACAAGGAGCAUUUUGCUAAACUAGUUGUAGAUGCUGUCAUGAGGCUCAAGUGGUGCAUGGAAGGAUCAUCCGCCACGCGAGGAAAGCAAUACAAUUGAAGCUAUCUCAAAAUUAGAUGAAAAAAGAGUCCGUUUGGGUAAAUCUAUUAAACUAAAAAUUUACGUUAUUUUGCCUAAUCGGUUCCAUGAAGGCUCUCAACUGAUAUUCUAGCCCAUAUAAAGGCUAGAUGGAGAUGGU